AUUGAACGCUGGCGGCAGGCCUAACACAUGCAAGUCGAGCGGAUGAAGGGAGCUUGCUCCUGGAUUCAGCGGCGGACGGGUGAGUAAUGCCUAGGAAUCUGCCUGGUAGUGGGGGAUAACGUCCGGAAACGGGCGCUAAUACCGCAUACGUCCUGAGGGAGAAAGUGGGGGAUCUUCGGACCUCACGCUAUCAGAUGAGCCUAGGUCGGAUUAGCUAGUUGGUGGGGUAAAGGCCUACCAAGGCGACGAUCCGUAACUGGUCUGAGAGGAUGAUCAGUCACACUGGAACUGAGACACGGUCCAGACUCCUACGGGAGGCAGCAGUGGGGAAUAUUGGACAAUGGGCGAAAGCCUGAUCCAGCCAUGCCGCGUGUGUGAAGAAGGUCUUCGGAUUGUAAGGCACUUUAAGUUGGGAGGAAGGGCAGUAAGUUAAUACCUUGCUGUUUUGACGUUACCAACAGAAUAAGCACCGGCUAACUUGGUG
Molecule: ribosomal RNA, 484 nt
Filed under: uncultured bacterium
Lineage: Bacteria
Description: partial 16S ribosomal RNA
Rfam family: Bacterial small subunit ribosomal RNA
Source: RNAcentral